UACGUAGGGUGCAAGCGUUAAUCGGAAUUACUGGGCGUAAAGCGUGCGUAGGUGGCGUGUUAAGUGUGAUGUUAAAUCGCGGGGCUCAACCCUGUCGGUGCAUCGCAUACUGGCAUGCUAGAGGGAAGCAGAGGCAAGUGGAAUUGGUAGUGUAGCAGUGAAAUGCGUAGAUAUUACCAGGAACACCAAUGGCGAAGGCAGCUUGCUGGGCUUCUUCUGACACUGAGGUACGAAAGCGUGGGGAGCGAACAGG
This 253-nucleotide ribosomal RNA is filed under the name uncultured bacterium. Its description in RNAcentral is "partial 16S ribosomal RNA". It matches the Rfam family "Bacterial small subunit ribosomal RNA", at positions 524 to 776 of the family's 1533-position model. The record is from RNAcentral.